AGUCUAUUCAGAGGAACCUGUUCUAUAAUCGAUAAUCCACGAUUUUAUAUACUUACUUUAAUAUUUGCAUAUCGUCGUAGGUUGAAUAUUUUAAAAGAAUUUAUCAAUAUUCAAGAUUUUUUUUAAAAAAAGAAUUCAGAUCAAGGUGUAGUUUAUAGGUAAGAAGUAAUGGGUUACAAUAAAUUUAUUUAAACGAAUGAGUUAUAUAGAGUAAAUUUUGAAGGCGGAUUUGAAAGUAAUUUUAAAAAAAUAUUUAAAAUGAUUUUAGCUUUAAAAUAUGUACAUAUCGCCCGUCGCUUUCACUCUAAGGUGGAAUAAGUCGUAACAAAGUAGGUGUACCGGAAGGUGCCCCUGGAGAA
RNAcentral lists this ribosomal RNA (359 nucleotides) under Cardipennis shaowuensis. Its description in RNAcentral is "partial 12S ribosomal RNA". The record is from RNAcentral. Lineage: Eukaryota; Metazoa; Arthropoda; Insecta; Coleoptera; Curculionidae.